UAUAAAUAACGUUCACUCCCUAAAUUCUCCUAACCUGCUAUGAAAAGUAUAUUUUGAAAAAAAGCUGGACAAAACCCUCCAAACUGAACCGAGUUUGGCUGUGUUCAAGAGCACCAAAACGACUGCGUACUGACUGGUCUACAAAUCACCUUGUAUCAUAAAUAACGACUCAUUAUUAUUUGUAGAUCAGUCAGUCAGUCACAAUUUAACCAUGAUACAUUGUGGUUUUGAUCCUCUCGGACAGGGCCACUGCUGAAGGCGCACUUGGGUGAGUGCUCUGUCAUCAACAGUAAACAAACAAAUAAAUAUGUAUUACCAUCUCAAAUGCACUUAAGAAACAAGAAAACAUUCUUAAGGAUCUUUGAAAUAAUCCGGUUCUGCAAUAUCGGUCAUGCUAAAUAUUAUUGAACGCGUCAAAUAACAAUAUGCAACCUAUAUGCAAAUAGUGGCCAAUCACUAAUAAGGCGCAUGUGAAGCCAGCUAUAUGAAAGACAUCUCACCAACAAACGAAUAAGUUAUGUCGAACCUUUAAACCAUGAGAGACCUCUUUUUAAGUUUUGCCAACCAAGUACAACCACCCCAGGAGGAUCGGGUGGUUCAAAGGUAGGAUUAAUUCUGGUAGGUAAUACCUGGCAAAAGUCAACAUUGACUGGUACAGCUACCUAACGUAACGCUCUCCCCUUUCUAUUAUUAGCCUACCUAGCUAGCUAUGUUAUCGUUUGUUAUUUAACAGUAUGCCCGUUCCAGUAAACUAGGCCUUUCUAUUGCUGUUAUGUUGUGUUAAGAUUUCGUUGACUUUUUCUUCAAAUUCUUGUGAUUAAACAUAGACUUAUUGAAUGUUAUUUUACUGAUUUUAAAUAUCAUGGACUGUUUCCCUGUGUAUAUUAGGAUACUUUUUAUUACAUUUAAAUAAUGUUUCCAUAUCUCAGUAUCUUUAGAGUAUCCUGUGAGGCAGAUCAAAGUGCCCUGUGGUCAGGAGGAGAGCAGCAUCUUGAAGGUUUUCGGGGAAACAUUCCCCCAGAUGAAUCCAAAUGUAGAGGCCUUUAAGACAGACAGGAGGAGGAGGCUCGUUCCCCUACAGCUGAACAGCAUGUGUCCAGCUGCAAUCAAAUCAGCUGGGCUAGGGAGGUCUGUCCUGUACUUAAGAUUGAAGGUUCAAAUAUGGUCUCAACUCUCUUGUGCUGCUGGAGGCAUUGGGGAACCACCCGGACAGCUUCCGAGCACUUCUUGUAGACUCCAUAAAUCUUCCACUGCCAGGGACCUGUUUAAAGUAACCUAUUCCAUACCUGGCAGCAACCGGCGGUGGUUGGAGAAUGACACCAUCUGCCACUGGUUCAACUGGCUGGCUGAGGAGCAAGAUGGAGAAUGUCCUCCUCUAACAGUGGCAAUGGUGUUGGGAGUUUGAUACUGGGGCAACGCUGGUGCCACCCCUGGGGUUUGAGGACCCCCCCGACCAUCGAAUUCCUCCACACAGCGCGAGGGAGUCUCGCUGGGCAGCAGAAGAAAAAGUACCCAGAGGCAAACACGUGUGCUGUGACACUAAGGCUCCCUCUUCAUAGCACCUACAAUGCCUUUAGGGAAUUCAUGACCUCCGGUAUUGUGAAUUCCCCACAUUCCGGUGUUGCAUAAACACACCUUAGUGGAGAGUGACACAUAAUAGUUAGAACAUUGGAGGGUGAAUUACUUGUAUUCACAAGUCUGUGGGACUUGUUCUGCCUUCUCUCUUCCACUGUUUCAUAUACAGUAUGUACUGAAGACUUGUAUAUUUCCGACCCUGUUCUUUGAAUGUCUUAAUGUACCUCUUUCUGCCCACUUGUCAGACUAAUGGAGAAAAGUGAGCAGAUAUAUUUGGCCGCUAAAUUCAUUGUUUUUCAAAAUAUUUAUUUGUAUGAUACAUAAUUUAUAGAAUUGUAGCAGUAAGCUACAGUAGCAAUUGAGUGUUUGAAAAUGUAGCUGCACAACCACAUUUAAGCAUUUAUCUACUUACCGUCUAUGUAUUGUUAGUAUAGUGCAUUCUGACAUUAUUCAGACCCCUUGACUUUUUCCACAUUUAUUAUUAUUCUACAAUUUAUAAAAUGUUUUUUCCUCAUCAA
Long non-coding RNA from Coregonus clupeaformis (lake whitefish), 2093 nucleotides. RefSeq lists it as uncharacterized. NCBI's taxonomy places the organism in Eukaryota, Metazoa, Chordata, Actinopteri, Salmoniformes, Salmonidae. The transcript is spliced from 3 exons. The record is from RefSeq and is a predicted model, not a curated record.